This is a long non-coding RNA of Bombus terrestris (buff-tailed bumblebee), 965 nucleotides long. RefSeq lists it as uncharacterized. The record is from RefSeq and is a predicted model, not a curated record. The transcript has 2 exons. NCBI's taxonomy places the organism in Eukaryota, Metazoa, Arthropoda, Insecta, Hymenoptera, Apidae.
AGUCCAUGUAAGAAAGUGCGAUAAAGGUUUUUCGACUGAGAAUAGGUUUAUCCAAAGAAUAAAAUAAUAGCUAUUAUGAUUCUACCUCUAAAUGCAGAAAUAACAACAGGUUAUGGGCCCAGGUUCAAUAAUUAGUUAUUAUUUUUAUUGAGGAUAUUAUUAAUAGUAAUAAUAUUGAGGAGCGCAGAAGAUAACCUAAAAACAAAAAGAAGUGCGUGAUGGAUAACUCAGUGUUGAAUAUCAUAAGGGCGCUUUAUCAAAUAUAUAAUUGCUUACGUGAUAAUACAGUUAUCAAAAGAACAUAAAAAUUAUUGUUAUUUUAUAUUUGAGAGGUAGGAUCGCGUUAGUUAUUAUUAUAUUAUCUGGAUAAUAAAUCCAUAUUUCACGGAGCAGAAAAACCUUUAUUGCACACACUUGGAAGGAACACGAACGAAUAAACGAAAAAACAAGAGAAGUCUUAAAACUAUCGAUUAGGUCUAUCGACCGUGUCUAGUAAUAACUUCUAGUUACUCUUUUUGUAACUAGCCGUCAGCAUAUAGAUGGCGAGCGAGAACUCACGUUGUCAUUUUCAACAAAAAUGUCGAGCGGGGCGAGUUUAAAUAUGAAAAGCUAAAUAAAGAUGUAACAACAAAAUAAUAACUUGAAACAAAUUUUAGUUCAACAUAUUACUUGUAAGGAAAAGAGUAAAAAUGUCAUAACAUGCGGGUAACCGGUAAAGCCAUAGAAGCAAGUAACGAAUUUUUGACAGACGAGCGUUGAAAACGAUGUGACGUUUGUUAUUCAGAUGCACACAAGUGACACCUGUUGGUUAUAUCUUUUGGAGAAACAGCUGGCAGACAAGCUAACGAAAAAAGAAAUAAAUUUUGUACCAUCAUUGUUAAACUCUAGUGAUAACUAUUGAAAAAAUGUACUGUUACAAAUGAGUUUGUCACGUAGAAAUAGAAAAAUAUGUAAUUUCAAAGAUA